UCAUCUUCCCUAAUCUUUUUCUACCUUUUCUUGUAUUAUGAUUUUUUUUUCAGAAACUAAGAAGCUACCUUCCCUUAAUCCCCUGUAUGUUUUCUUCAUCUCAGUGUUUUGUUGUAAACAUAAGGGUCACAUAUCUAUGAAGUCAUAUACUAAUAGUAAGCAUUUUUCCUUUUGGAGUGCUACUUUUAUUCCACAGGGCUCACAUAUUGUCAUGAUGUUGUCACAAAAACCUAGGCGAAUAGGUAGGCUAGGUAUUUUUAAUCUGUACUUUAAAGUGAUGGUCACAGUUCACAUGGUUAAAAAGACUUGUUGAAAUCCCAUACUGACUUAACGUACAAUGGGACUAGCUCCUCAGUUUGGCCUGUGAAACAGGCUUCCUUCCAACACUAAUAAUACAUGGUAACUAAAUGAUUCACUUUUUCAUUUAUCAGUUUUAUGCCCAGCACUAUAAUAAUUGGAACAGUAACAAUACCAAUAUCAACACUUCACAUGCUAACAGUAAGAAAACCGGUAACUAAUAUUUCUGAGUUUUACUUUUGUGCCCAUUACUACUUUGAGGGCAUUGCAUGUGUUAGCUUAUUAAAUCCUUAAGGCUCAAGGAGGUUAAGUGAUUUCCCCAUGGUCAUGCAGUUAGUGACAGAACCUUGAUGAAAACUCAGGUCAUGUUAGUCUUGAGCUGGAACCCAAUGAUCAUACUGUAGGGAAUGAGUGUA
Non-coding RNA from Vicugna pacos (alpaca), 713 nucleotides. Lineage: Eukaryota; Metazoa; Chordata; Mammalia; Artiodactyla; Camelidae. The record is from RefSeq and is a predicted model, not a curated record.